AUGCGGACUGCCGACUUGUCGGAGAGCCGGAAGGCCAAUGCCGCUCUUCAGGAACGGUUGGGCGAAGCCAACACCGCCCUAUGCGCCAAGGAGGUGGAGUGCGGCAAGCUCGCCACAGAGCGCGACCUGCUGGCCGCGCAGCUGGCGGAGCAGAAGGAGUUGCUUAAGGCGGCACAGGACGAGGCAGAGAAGAGAGAGACCGCUCUCCUGGCCGAGUUCGAAAGCAAGCGCACCUCCUGGACUGACAAGGAGGCGAUGCUGACCUCCGGCUUCCACGAGAUUGAAGACAUUGUCGACGGUGAGUUUCUUUGCUUUCUUUCUUCGAGCCGCCGACUGCAAGUCAGGCCGACUCCUGAUUCUUUCUUUUGCUUCUUUUUGUUUUGGCAGACUUCUUCCCUGGCCACUCGUAGGCGGUCCCUCGAGCCAUCGAGGCUGACCGCGAGGCGCGGAGGGCGAAUGGCGAGGAGAUCGCCGCCAACGCCCCCUGACCAUUGA
This 495-nucleotide ribosomal RNA is filed under the name Triticum aestivum (bread wheat). RNAcentral's name for it is "partial small subunit ribosomal RNA". Lineage: Eukaryota; Viridiplantae; Streptophyta; Magnoliopsida; Poales; Poaceae. The record is from RNAcentral.